RNAcentral lists this long non-coding RNA (640 nucleotides) under Mytilus galloprovincialis (Mediterranean mussel). The record is from RNAcentral. Lineage: Eukaryota; Metazoa; Mollusca; Bivalvia; Mytilida; Mytilidae.
GGACCUUAAUGUAGACCAAUUUGAAAACGGGACCAAAACUUAAGAAUCUACAUACACAGUUAGAUUCGGCAUAUCAAAGAACCCCAAUUAUUCAAUUUUUGAUGAAAUCAAACAAAGUUCAAUUUUGGACACUUUGGGCCCCUUAUUCCUAAACUGUUGGGACCAAAACUCCCAAAAUCAAACCCAACCUUCCUUUUAUGGUCAUAAACCUUGUGUUUAAAUUUCAUAGAUUUCUACUUACUUAUACUAAAGUUAUAGUGCGAAAACCAAGAAUAAUGCUUAUUUGGGCCCCUUUUUGGCCCCUAAUUCCUAAACUGAUGGGACCUCAACUCCCAAAAUCAAUCCCAACCUUCCUUUUGUGGUCAUAAACCUUGUGUUUACAUUUCAUUGAUUUCUAUUUACUUAUACUAAAGUUACUGUGCGAAAACCAAGAAUAAUGCUUAUUUGGGCCCUUUUUUGGCCCCUAAUUCCUAAACUGUUGAAACCAAACAUCCCAAAAUCAAUCCCAACCUUCCUUUUGUGGUCAUAAACCUUGUGUCAAAAUUUCAUAGAUUUCUAUUUACUUAAACUAAAGUUAUAGUGCGAAAACCAAGAAAAUGCUUAUUUGGGCCCUUUUUGGCCCCUAAUUCCUAUAAUAUUG